Acomys russatus (golden spiny mouse) is the source of this 105-nucleotide small nuclear RNA. The record is from RefSeq and is a predicted model, not a curated record. Lineage: Eukaryota; Metazoa; Chordata; Mammalia; Rodentia; Muridae.
GCUUGCUUCGGCAGAACAUACACUAAAAUUAGAAGGAUACAGAGAGGAUUAACAUGGCCCCUGCAGAAGGAUGACAUGCAAAUUCGUGAAGCAUUCCAUAUUUUU